This 301-nucleotide ribosomal RNA is filed under the name uncultured bacterium. Its description in RNAcentral is "partial 16S ribosomal RNA". It matches the Rfam family "Bacterial small subunit ribosomal RNA", at positions 509 to 808 of the family's 1533-position model. The record is from RNAcentral.
CAGUAGCGCGGUAAUACAGAGGGUGCGAGCGUUAAUCGGAUUUACUGGGCGUAAAGCGUGCGUAGGCGGCUUCUUAAGUCGGAUGUGAAAUCCCUGAGCUUAACUUAGGAAUUGCAUUCGAUACUGGGAAGCUAGAGUAUGGGAGAGGAUGGUAGAAUUCCAGGUGUAGCGGUGAAAUGCGUAGAGAUCUGGAGGAAUACCGAUGGCGAAGGCAGCCAUCUGGCCUAAUACUGACGCUGAGGUACGAAAGCAUGGGGAGCAAACAGGAUUAGAUACCCCGGUAGUCCCUGUCUCUUAUACA